GAUUACCUGCAGCUGAACAAUGGGUUGGGGACAAUCCAAAACUCUGGCCUGGACCCUAUUUCUCUCAGUUGUAUAUAAACUGAGGAGUGGAGCACCGGCCCGCCCUACUCUCCAAAUGCUCCACUCCAGGGGCCCAUAACUAAACAUUAAUUUGUGUUGCAUACAACGCAUACUCCCCCUGGGGUUAAAUGGCAUAUGCCUCUCUGAAGAAGAGAGAGGUAAUAAAAACAGCCUCAUAUGCCACACCAUUCACUUUAUCACAAUUUGUACAAUGCUAUCAUAUCCCCUCCUAGGUGCCGGUUUUCUAAAAUAAACAGAUUUAAAUUUAUUAAACUUACUUCAUAACUAAAAUGUUUUAUUCCUAGGGGAAGUGCCUGACCGCAGAGCUGGACGGACUGCUUCGGCUCCUUUUACCUUAACAGCGGCUAAUUUACCUUUUUAUGUCCCACACCGACAUCAGCUGAUACCUGCCAGUGUGUUGACGCUGUUGGGCAUUUUAUGGAUCAAGAGUAACAAUCCUGGAGCUCCUCCUGGCUGCAGCCUGGUGUGUGGCCUUAGCAGGAGAAGCGGACAAUCUCCCAGACUUGGACAGCACAAACCAAGUACUGUGUACAUAUUGAUGGCCCAAUACUCCUGUGAUGGGAUUCCAGCAUGGUUAAAAUUUAGUAGGCCAAAAUCUCCAUGUGGCAUAUGUGUAUGUUGUGUCAGUUGAUUAGCUACAUGUAGCUAGGAUACUGUCAUCAGUGUACUGAGCAUGUGCAGGAAUGCAGGAACUGAAAUUGCAC
This is a non-coding RNA of Pelobates cultripes (western spadefoot toad), 785 nucleotides long. Lineage: Eukaryota; Metazoa; Chordata; Amphibia; Anura; Pelobatidae. The record is from the annotation of a GenBank genome assembly.